AUUGAACGCUGGCGGCAUGCUUUACACAUGCAAGUCGAACGGUAACAGGUUAAGCUGACGAGUGGCGAACGGGUGAGUAAUGCAUCGGAACGUGCCCGGUCGUGGGGGAUAACGCAGCGAGAGCUGCGCUAAUACCGCAUACGAUCUGAGGAUGAAAGCGGGGGACCGUAAGGCCUCGCGCGAUCGGAGCGGCCGAUGUCAGAUUAGGUAGUUGGUGGGGUAAAGGCUCACCAAGCCAACGAUCUGUAGCUGGUCUGAGAGGACGACCAGCCACACUGGGACUGAGACACGGCCCAGACUCCUACGGGAGGCAGCAGUGGGGAAUUUUGGACAAUGGGCGAAAGCCAGAUCCAGCAAUGCCGCGUGCAGGAAGAAGGCCUUCGGGUUGUAAACUGCUUUUGUACGGAGCGAAAAGGUCCUUUCUAAUACAGGGGGCUCAUGACGGUACCGUAAGAAUAAGCACCGGCUAACUACGUGCCAGCCGCCGCGGUAA
Molecule: ribosomal RNA, 493 nt
Filed under: uncultured bacterium
Lineage: Bacteria
Description: partial 16S ribosomal RNA
Rfam family: Bacterial small subunit ribosomal RNA
Source: RNAcentral